GCCACAUCCACAGGGCUGGAGCUUUGGGCCUGAGACUCAGGACCUAAAGUUUCCUUUUAGAGUCGGUCCUGGGGAUGCACAUGUGGAUUAAAUUAGAGCAAUAUGUUUUUCUAACAGCAUCUUGGCUGAAAAGCCAAGCAGAUAAAUGGAAACAAACACAGCUUUAUGUGAAUGAAAAGGGGCUGACGAGGCAGCCACUUCUGCCUGAAGCGCCACAGCCAGCAGGGUUGCCCUCCUGGGGUCUCCCCCUCCUCCCGCUUCCCCCUCCAGCCCUGACCCUGGAAGCAUUCACCAGAGGGCUCCUCAAGGCCCCUCACCCAGCCUCUGCCCUGGCUGAACUGGCUUCCUGCCCAUCUCCAAACCCGAUUUGUGCUGCCCACUCUUGACCACAGUCAUCACCUAUGCUGUGCUCUCUGUGCAGACAUACCACGUUCUCCUGGAAGGCAGGGACUGCAUCCAGCUCCUCCUUGUCAUCCUCCCAAUGCUGAGAACAUGAUGGGUGUUGCAUAAAUAGAUGCUGUAAAUGAAUGAGUGGAAGGAGACAGAGAGUGUGAGAUAACAGAAAAUAUGUUUUGGUCUUUGACUUUGGUUCCUGUCAUGAGAUUCCUGAAGCCCUGGUAAUUUUCUGGGUGGUAGGAGUGUCUUUGGUUCUAAUGAAGUGACUCUGGGCGGGGCAGGGGG
Long non-coding RNA from Bos taurus (domestic cattle), 681 nucleotides. Lineage: Eukaryota; Metazoa; Chordata; Mammalia; Artiodactyla; Bovidae. The record is from Ensembl.